CUUCGGGAUAAGCCUGGGAAACUGGGUCUAAUACCGGAUAUGACCUCCUAUCGCAUGGUGGGUGGUGGAAAGAUUUAUCGGUGCAGGAUGGGCCCGCGGCCUAUCAGCUUGUUGGUGGGGUAAUGGCCUACCAAGGCGACGACGGGUAGCCGACCUGAGAGGGUGACCGGCCACACUGGGACUGAGACACGGCCCAGACUCCUACGGGAGGCAGCAGUGGGGAAUAUUGCACAAUGGGCGAAAGCCUGAUGCAGCGACGCCGCGUGAGGGACGACGGCCUUCGGGUUGUAAACCUCUUUCAGCAGGGACGAAGCGCAAGUGACGGUACCUGCAGAAGAAGCACCGGCUAACUACGUGCCAGCAGCCGCGGUAAUACGUAGGGUGCAAGCGUUGUCCGGAAUUACUGGGCGUAAAGAGUUCGUAGGCGGUUUGUCACGUCGUUUGUGAAAACUCACAGCUCAACUGUGAGCCUGCAGGCGAUACGGGCAGACUUGAGUACUGCAGGGGAGACUGGAAUUCCUGGUGUAGCGGUGAAAUGCGCAGAUAUCAGGAGGAACACCGGUGGCGAAGGCGGGUCUCUGGGCAGUAACUGACGCUGAGGAACGAAAGCGUGGGUAGCGAACAGGAUUAGAUACCCUGGUAGUCCACGCCGUAAACGGUGG
RNAcentral lists this ribosomal RNA (662 nucleotides) under Rhodococcus sp. VPMK26. RNAcentral's name for it is "bacterial SSU rRNA". It matches the Rfam family "Bacterial small subunit ribosomal RNA", at positions 136 to 812 of the family's 1533-position model. Lineage: Bacteria; Bacillati; Actinomycetota; Actinomycetes; Mycobacteriales; Nocardiaceae. The record is from RNAcentral.